This 253-nucleotide ribosomal RNA is filed under the name uncultured bacterium. RNAcentral's name for it is "partial 16S ribosomal RNA". It matches the Rfam family "Bacterial small subunit ribosomal RNA", at positions 524 to 776 of the family's 1533-position model. The record is from RNAcentral.
UACGAAGGGCGCAAGCGUUAAUCGGAAUUACUGGGCGUAAAGCGCGCGUAGGUGGUUCAGUAAGUUGGAUGUGAAAUCCCCGGGCUCAACCUGGGAACUGCAUCCAAAACUGCUGAGCUAGAGUACGGUAGAGGGUGGUGGAAUUUCCUGUGUAGCGGUGAAAUGCGUAGAUAUAGGAAGGAACACCAGUGGCGAAGGCGACCACCUGGACUGAUACUGACACUGAGGUGCGAAAGCGUGGGGAGCAAACAGG